CAGUAGCCGCGGUAAUACGAAGGGGGCUAGCGUUGCUCGGAAUGACUGGGCGUAAAGGGCGCGUAGGCGGCGAUCAAAGUCAGGCGUGAAAUUCCUGGGCUCAACCUGGGGGCUGCGUUUGAUACUUGAUUGCUAGAGUGGGGAAGAGGGUCGUGGAAUUCCCAGUGUAGGGGUGAAAUUCGUAGAUAUUGGGAAGAACACCGGUGGCGAAGGCGGCGACCUGGUCCUUGACUGACGCUGAGGCGCGAAAGCGUGGGGAGCAAACAGGAUUAGAUACCCCCGUAGUCCCUGUCUCUUAUAC
This 301-nucleotide ribosomal RNA is filed under the name uncultured bacterium. RNAcentral describes it as "partial 16S ribosomal RNA". It matches the Rfam family "Bacterial small subunit ribosomal RNA", at positions 509 to 807 of the family's 1533-position model. The record is from RNAcentral.